AAAGUUGAAUCCAAUUCAAUUUGGCUCAUCCUUAGCACAAUUACUCAAUCAAAUUGAGUUUAUUAGUAAUUUAAUUACUAAUUAAUCCUUCAAUAAUUAUUUUAAUUAUUUUAUAAGAUAAUUUGCCAAUCAAAUUGACCAAAUUAUCCCUGAAUGAUUCUUAAUCAUUCAUCAGCCUUCUUGAUCAAUCAGGAAUCUUCUAUGCGUGGGACCUCAUAUGUUCGAACCUAGGCCGGUAGUAUAGGAACGACUUCCUACACUAAUCAAUGUGACCAUCUAGCAAUGGUACCCGACGUCCGGAUAGGCCGAAUAUAUGCGAAGCAAAUAUUCUG
RNAcentral lists this long non-coding RNA (332 nucleotides) under Phoenix dactylifera (date palm). Its description in RNAcentral is "long non-coding RNA (PDAC_LNC012301)". The record is from RNAcentral. Lineage: Eukaryota; Viridiplantae; Streptophyta; Magnoliopsida; Arecales; Arecaceae.